CACAGUUAGUAAGAGCUAGUCCUUGCAUUUAUGCUCUGCUUUUAUUUCCAUAUUCCCUAAUUUAACCAUUAUAUAGGAGACAAGUGUAUUGUGCCCUUUUUGUCCAAUUUGCAUUUCUUUUUUUUCUCUUCACAAUUUUCUACUUCCAGGUAUUUGAAAAAUGAGACCACUUUGUUACCAUGGUGACUCACAGGUGAAGAGAAAAGUAAGCCGCAAGUUUGCUGUGUUCUGAUGUACUGAUGCUUCAUCAAGAAUUUGUUCCCAUGCUGUUCUCAAAAUGAAUGGGGUCUCCGCCACUUCCCAACAAAGCCAACAUCUGGUUUAAGCAAGUUCAGAGUUUUGGGCUGAGGAAAACAGGAUGGUAAUAUACCCACCUCCAGACAGAUGGUACACUCCUGGAAUCAAACCCAUGACCUUGUGCAAAUCAGCGGCUAAGGCUGCAAACCACAAAGACAAGCAUCCUAACCUGCAGAGCUCAAAUAACAUUUCUUCGGGUAGGGAGGCAGGUGCUUAUCUUUACUGUUGGGUAACACUCAUUGUAACAGUUUUAAAAUCAUCUGAUACUCAGCUUCAUAAAAACUGAUCCCAGUUAACAUUAAGUUGCACAACCUUCAAUGAAAAAUCUAAUCUAAUUGUCCUAACAAGUUAUAUAGUAUUCCCUAUUAAAAAUUACUUUUGUUUCAUGCAGUUUUAGAGCAAAUUAAUUCUUCUUUGAUCAAUAUCACCAGAGUGAAAAAAUGAAAAUGUGGUGUCCGGCCCUUGGAAUGGAUGUAAAACUGGAUGGAAGAUUUAUUCAUGUUUUUGUCCUAUUUAUUUGGAUCAUCAGCAUGAGAAGCUGGUUCCUCCUUUAGCACUAUUAUGUGCAGAGCAAGAAUCACCCAUGAAUGGCUCAUCAGUCCAUUGCAGGGCAUACUCACAUAUAAAGUGUAAAUCUAUUAUGCAAGUCUUGGCAAGGGAGAAAGAAAACAUAAGUACAUGGAAGAACUCCACAUAGUCAGAUAGCACACAAGGCGUGAGAUUCUAAACUAGAUCUCUGAAGUUGUGCAAUAUCAAUUCUAGUCAAUGCACUAAGGGCAGAUCAGUUCUCUUCAACUUAAUAUUUGUCAAAUAUUUUUUACUUUUUCUCGGGAUUACGUAUGCGUUGAUACAGGGAAUUCUGAACAAUACAUCCAAUAUGCAAACUCAACAAUCAUCAAUGAUUAGUAGAACAUCAAUUAUCUGUACAUCAUUCAUCAAAACCUUCGAUUAUCUGAACAACCGCCACCCCAACACAUCCCACCCAAAAAAAAAAAAAAAA
Long non-coding RNA from Polypterus senegalus (gray bichir), 1297 nucleotides. RefSeq lists it as uncharacterized. The transcript is spliced from 2 exons. NCBI's taxonomy places the organism in Eukaryota, Metazoa, Chordata, Cladistia, Polypteriformes, Polypteridae. The record is from RefSeq and is a predicted model, not a curated record.